Molecule: ribosomal RNA, 549 nt
Filed under: uncultured bacterium
Lineage: Bacteria
Description: bacterial SSU rRNA
Rfam family: Bacterial small subunit ribosomal RNA
Source: RNAcentral
GGANUUCNAAUGGGCGAAAGCCUGAUGCAGCAACGCCGCGUGGGGGAUGAAGCUUCUCGGAGUGUAAACCCCUUUCGACCCGGAAGAAAGCCCGCAAGGGUUUGACGGUACGGGUAUAAGAAGCCCCGGCUAACUACGUGCCAGCAGCCGCGGUAAAACGUAGGGGGCCAGCGUUGCUCGGAAUUACUGGGCGUAAAGGGUCCGUAGGCGGUGUGGCAAGUCGGUAGUGAAAUCUCUGGGCUUAACCCAGAGGCUGCUGCCGAAACUGCCGUGCUAGAGUGUGAGAGAGGCGAGUGGAAUUACGGGUGUAGCGGUGAAAUGCGUAGAUAUCCGUAGGAACAUCCGAGGCGAAAGCGGCUCGCUGGAUCACAACUGACGCUGAGGGACGAAAGCUAGGGGAGCAAACAGGAUUAGAUACCCUGGUAGUCCUAGCCCUAAACCAUCAGGACUUGGGGUGUGCCCUGUACGGGGCACGUCCCGUAGCUAACGCGUUAAGUCCUGCGCCUGGGGAGUACGGUCGCAAGGCUGAAACUCAAAAAAAUUGACGGA